ACCAUCAUGUAUGAUUACAAAUCAUUUAACUAUUUAAAUCUAAGUCAUUAACUGUUUAAACUAUAGUUAUCAGCAAACUAAUUACUAUGAAACAAAAGCAACAUCAAUGAGUAGAAGAACAUGACAUAAGAAGAAACAACUCUGUCUACAUCUCUAAGAGAGAAAAAUAAAUGCAAGUCAGACCAAGCUACAUGAAGUAUUAGAAAAUGAAAUACCUCUUUUGGAUUGUUGGAAGAAAUUCUUUUGCUGGAUGAAAAAGAACUUGAUCACAGUACAAAAGCCACACAUUGUGAGACAUCAUUGACAAAAAACUCAAAAAAAAAAAAGAGUUGAAAAAGGCACAAGAUAACAAUGCAGCACAAGAACAUCUAUAUCUUGGAUUAGAAAUAAAUUCACAAAUUAGAUGAUCCCUUAGAAGGUGUGAUGCCAGAAAUUGGCAAAAAAAAUUCAAGAGCAAUAUAUGUAAGCAAAUACAAUUAGUCCUCAAGCCUAAAUUCAACAGCUAUAUAUGUAAAAAAAAGUAGGAAACAAUCAGAGAAGCCCUAUUUUUUACUUCCCUAAGAGUCAGUGGGCAUUUUUCAAGUCAGAGCAAGUGAGAAACCAUUGUCUUUGGGGGGAACAUCAAGAUAUGAAUCUGGCAGUACCCACAAAACUCCAAGUAACUCCACUCAUAUGAGAAAAAGAUUGCGACAACAGUCAAGAUUGUUAAUGAUAGCUGCACAAAUAAAAACAUACAUAUCACCAUUUGGCAUAUCAAAAUCCAAUUCCAAAAUCAAUAAUCAGUAAAUGUAGGAGGAGCGCACUAUAUCAUACCUUUUCAAUCUCUCUCGCAAGGAAUUAACAAUGGAAUUCAGUAUCACAUUGGACGUAAGUUUGAUAUGUCAAAAUUACAUUUGAACCAUGACAAGAUUAAACUUCUUGAAAUAUUUUCAAGGUUAUAAUAUGAAAAGCUUCAUCUAGGAAACUAAUGCAAUGCAGUAGAAGACAAAAUCAUUACAGCAACAAAGCCAUUCUUCAGCAAAUGGGGUCAGACGACCACAUUGAUUAAAUUUAAACACCAUCAUGUAUGAUUACAAAUCAUUUAACUAUUUAAAUCUAAGUCAUUAACUGUUUAAACUAUAGUUAUCAGCAAACUAAUUACUAUGAAACAAAAGCAACAUCAAUGAGUAGAAGAACAUGACAUAAGAAGAAACAACUCUGUCUACAUCUCUAAGAGAGAAAAAUAAAUGCAAGUCAGACCAAGCUACAUGAAGUAUUAGAAAAUGAAAUACCUCUUUUGGAUUGUUGGAAGAAAUUCUUUUGCUGGAUGAAAAAGAACUUGAUCACAGUACAAAAGCCACACAUUGUGAGACAUCAUUGACAAAAAACUCAAAAAAAAAAAAGAGUUGAAAAAGGCACAAGAUAACAAUGCAGCACAAGAACAUCUAUAUCUUGGAUUAGAAAUAAAUUCACAAAUUAGAUGAUCCCUUAGAAGGUGUGAUGCCAGAAAUUGGCAAAAAAAAUUCAAGAGCAAUAUAUGUAAGCAAAUACAAUUAGUCCUCAAGCCUAAAUUCAACAGCUAUAUAUGUAAAAAAAAGUAGGAAACAAUCAGAGAAGCCCUAUUUUUUACUUCCCUAAGAGUCAGUGGGCAUUUUUCAAGUCAGAGCAAGUGAGAAACCAUUGUCUUUGGGGGGAACAUCAAGAUAUGAAUCUGGCAGUACCCACAAAACUCCAAGUAACUCCACUCAUAUGAGAAAAAGAUUGCGACAACAGUCGUUCCUACACCAGAUAAAAAAAUUGUAUGUUUCAACCACAUAGAGAGAACAUGUACAUAAUGAAUUUGAACCUGGC
Molecule: long non-coding RNA, 1830 nt
Filed under: Lotus japonicus
Lineage: Eukaryota; Viridiplantae; Streptophyta; Magnoliopsida; Fabales; Fabaceae
Description: long non-coding RNA (LJAP_LNC001166)
Source: RNAcentral